RNAcentral lists this ribosomal RNA (395 nucleotides) under uncultured bacterium. RNAcentral describes it as "bacterial SSU rRNA". It matches the Rfam family "Bacterial small subunit ribosomal RNA", at positions 505 to 898 of the family's 1533-position model. The record is from RNAcentral.
GUGUCAGCAGCCGCGGUAAGACAGAGGGUGCAAACGUUGUUCGGAAUUACUGGGCGUAAAGCGCGUGUAGGCUGCCCGUAAAGUCGGAUGUGAAAGCCCUGGGCUCAACCUGGGAAGUGCAUUCGAUACUCACGGGCUGGAGUUCUGGAGAGGAAGGCGGAAUUCUCGGUGUAGAGGUGAAAUUCGUAGAUAUCGAGAGGAACACCUGUGGCGAAGGCGGCCUUCUGGACAGAAACUGACGCUGAGACGCGAAAGCGUGGGGAGCAAACAGGAUUAGAUACCCUGGUAGUCCACGCCGUAAACGAUGGGUGCUAGGUGUCGCGGGCUUUGACCCCUGCGGUGCCGUAGCUAACGCCUUAAGCACCCCGCCUGGGAAGUACGGCCGCAAGGCUAAA